AAAGGUAAGCUACUAAGAGCGAAUGGUGGAUGCCUUGACUGGUAAAGGCGAUGAAGGACGUACUAGACUGCGAUAAGCUACGGGGAGCUGUCAAGAAGCUUUGAUCCGUAGAUUUCCGAAUGGGGCAACCCAAUGUAUAGAGAUAUACAUUACCUAUAUAGGAGCGAACGAGGGGAAUUGAAACAUCUUAGUACCCUCAGGAAAAGAAAUCAAUAGAGAUUGCGUCAGUAGCGGCGAGCGAAAGCGCAAGAGGGCAAACCCAGUGCUUGCACUGGGGGUUGUAGGACUGCAAUGUGCAAGAGGUAAGUUUAGCAGAACAUUCUGGAAAGUAUAACCAUAGAGGGUGAUAGUCCCGUAUGCGAAAAACAAACCUUAGCUAGCAGUAUCCUGAGUAGGGCGGGACACGAGGAAUCCUGUCUGAAUCCGGGUCGACCACGAUCCAA
RNAcentral lists this ribosomal RNA (443 nucleotides) under Campylobacter jejuni. RNAcentral's name for it is "partial 23S ribosomal RNA". It matches the Rfam family "Bacterial large subunit ribosomal RNA", at positions 1 to 463 of the family's 2925-position model. Lineage: Bacteria; Pseudomonadati; Campylobacterota; Epsilonproteobacteria; Campylobacterales; Campylobacteraceae. The record is from RNAcentral.